CGCGCAAUCGUCUUAAAGGACGGACGUUGCCGGUCGCGUUCACGAGCCUUGUGCCGUGUCGUCUCACGCGCCGGUUCGAUUUCAAGUAAUAUAGUUUAAUCGGCAGUGUUCGCCGUGGACAAUUUAAUUCUUUUUUCUAAAUACUUAAUUCGCAGUAAUGAGCUACCUAACGAACUAGUCAAAUAACGUAUUUUCCGUUGUGCACCCCGGUUAAGGGGUGCAUUUGUACGGCGUAAGCCUACGGCGGCGGCAGGAAGGACCUGCUGAUCCGGCCGCAGAGUGGGAAGCCAGCCAGAGUCUACCUCGAUUCACCCACCAGCUGACCUCGGCGCUUCCCGAGACGUCCCGACGACCGACCCGGGCCCUGCUCAUUCACCUUGCCACGUCAGGGGAGUACCCUACUACGUCAGUGAAAUCAGACAGGCUUAUUGAUAACCUAACGGACCUUACCACGACCCCCGCUCAGUUUUUUUCCCAUUAUUUUUUUUGUUAAAAUAUAAUUAGUAAUUUGUAA
Molecule: long non-coding RNA, 514 nt
Organism: Cydia pomonella (codling moth)
Lineage: Eukaryota; Metazoa; Arthropoda; Insecta; Lepidoptera; Tortricidae
Exons: 2
Source: RefSeq, a predicted model, not a curated record